ACUCAGCGUGCCCAAGUCCCGUGACUUAGUGCCAGGACGGUGCUGUGACCCGUUAUCCCCUGUCGGGUUUUACCUCCCCCCGGGAGAGCUCAGCCCUGGAUCCCGGCGGGCGGCGGAGCCUCUCUGGAGCCCGGACGGGACAGCCCACCAGGGUCUGCUUCUGUGAGGGGCCGAGGCGUCAUUCCGCGAAGCCUUCUCCUUGCUGUUGCCAUGUGAAGAAGGAUGUGUUUGCUUCCCCUUCUGCCAUGAUUGUAAGUUUUCUGAAGCCUCUCCAGCCAUGCCAAACUGAAGCUGCUGGAAGGUACACAUCUUGGGAGUUUGCCCUUUGAAGCUCACCUGUGGACCUUUUUUCCUUUCGAAAAGAAGCAUAAGCUGCAAUAAAAAUUUGGUUUCAAGAUAACAAAGUCAGUCCCCAAAAAUCAGUAUUGAGAGUCACUGACAUUAAAUGAUGAAGAUACGAGGAUGGUGUGGGGACCUUUACUCUUCGAAGAUGAGCUAUACAUGCCCCUGAAAAGGCUGUCUGAAGACAGGGGAAGGCUGGAGAUGGCAACUUUGGCCUCUGCCAAGUACUCGUGCUAUUUUCUGUAUGUGA
Molecule: long non-coding RNA, 592 nt
Filed under: Homo sapiens (human)
Lineage: Eukaryota; Metazoa; Chordata; Mammalia; Primates; Hominidae
Description: non-protein coding lnc-GRM1-1:1
Source: RNAcentral